GCUUGAUGACUUGCACAGAGCUGGCUGGGAAGACACCGCUGAUCCCGUUGGCCUCGCCCAGGUACCAGUUCUCAUCCAGCUGUCGGAGCAGCAUGAUGAUGUCCCCUUUGUUGAACCUCAGCUCGCCGGGAUUGUGCCCUCGCAUGUCCGGAGGUGACAGCAGCUGUGGAGCACCCGAUGGCUGUCACCUGCAGGGCCCAACACAGCAUCUUCAGGAGCAGCUACGGGAAGCAGAGCACAGACUGGAAAUACUGACUCGGGCAGCACUCGAGCAAAGAAACCAUUGCAGGAUGCCUGCCUGGGCACGCACACCUCCUCCAGCAGGGCCCAGGCUGCGGGUCUCUGGGGAAGAAAACCUGCAGGGUCACGGGAGGGCUCGGCCGCAUCCGCGAGACUCGGAGACACUCCCAGUGUCAAACCAGGAUGAGGAGCACGGCUGGAGAGCUUUAGGAGUGACCAGAAAAUGUAAAGGACUCGUGCAGCCUGUGAGAGCAGGGCUCCUAGAAGGGGAACGCAAACGUCCGGGAAGAUGAGAGAGUGGUUGCACAACGAAAUAAGGCCAAACAUAAAAGGCACCAAGAACGAGUUAUGGAAAUGUAUUAAAAAUAAGAGAAACUCUGAAAUGAAAUGCAAACCUAUUACUACUGGGAAAUGGUGAACAAGCAAUGGGGUAGUCUGGAAUGUUCUUUCUCCAGCAAGAAAAAGGAUGAUCAGAUACCCUGAGAAAUUAAUUUUAAUGAGACAGGAGUGUGGGCCUGACUAGAGGACUGAAACCUGGCUGGAACAGAGGUGUUUGUGACAUGAGGGCUUGCAGAAACUCACCCCUGAGUGCGUGAAGAAAGGGUCAGGUACCCUCUGAGCAAUUAGUGCUUGUCCGCAAGAGCUCCUGGAAGGCAGAACUGCUCCCGCAGGACAGGAAUAAAGUUUCUGAAGCUGUGUGUGGCCACGACCCCUGCCUCCAGACAUGCCCAUGCAGAGCUGAAGUUUUGUUAUAGGAAAACUCAUCUCCCUGGGUGCAGCAGAAUAUUUCUGGCAUUGCUAGAAAUACCAGCAGCAGUGCACCUGGUGGGCAGGGUUGGCGCUUUCGUGGCCCUGCCACAAGUGCCGAUUUGUCUGGCAAAUAGCGCACGGGGGUCUCCUGGCUGUGCAGGGCAGGCGGGAUGCUGCGGCCAGCGCUGGGGCACGGGCUGCUGGCUCCCAUGGUGGGGGGCCCAGCCACAGCUCCCGGCUGGGGAGGACGAGCAGGUCUGGUGCUCUCAGGCUGGGCAGACGCCAAUGGAAACGGCCCUGGCUUGCAGCUCGGUGCCGGGAGGCUGCGGGGGAAGCGAGCGCAGCCGGCGGCAGAGCCCCUGGCAGCAGCAGCGGAGCCUCCCAAACCCGUCCCGGGAGAAGGGCCCGCGGCACUCCCAGCUCGCCACCACAGCCCCGAGGUUCCUCGUCCCUGCUGCUUCCCCCGGCUGGGAGCCUGUGGCCUGGGCACCCCGUGGCUGUGCCCUCUGGGACAUUCCCAGAGUGGCGUGAGGCGUAACGGGCUGGGCUUUCUUCCUCUGGCCACGGUCACAGCCUUCCCUUCUUUACCUCUUCUUUCACCUUCCUCUCACUUCCAUGCCCUUUCAAAUCUCACUGCUCCUUCUGCUUUCCAGCAUCCCUCUAAGUCUCGUUUUUUCUCCCAGCUGUGUCCUGGAGCUUGUAAUGAUGAAUUGGCAGAAUCUCACCCGCCGCUUUGUAGAGCAGAGCAUGUAUUCGCUCACUGAAACUUGUUGCAAAACAUGUGGAUGCAAAAUUUCACUAAUAUUAAUGGUUAUAUGCUUCUUUAGCAUCCAAAAAAAUAUUCAGAAUCUUGGUCUUUUGGGACUUCUUAGUCGUUUUGCACACUCACAAGGUGAGGUCGGUGUGUCCAUUCAUGGCCACCUCGCCAGGAAUCCUUACAAGGCUGGUAAGCCCACGGGGCGGGUGCACCCCGUGGCUGUUCCCCACCCAGUGAAUUUGAGGCUGGUGGGGGAGAAAGGGUUUUCUGACCAUUCUUGGUAUUUGGCACUGGCUGUGCUAGGCAGCCAUCCAAUACAUCUGAGUUUCCCUCCGUACAAAACAAAGACGCAAAUUAAAAAUAUGCACAUGUGUGUGUAAAGAAGCGAUUCAAAGCAUCCCUUCAUAGCUGGGAGAAAUGUGCACUAUAAUUAUCUUAAAUGAGCUAGUUACAACGUCCUCGUUAUUGACAGAGGGUUAACGUGAGAGCACACCCUCACAGCACUGGUAUCGAAAA
Anas platyrhynchos (mallard) is the source of this 2263-nucleotide non-coding RNA. The record is from RefSeq and is a predicted model, not a curated record. NCBI's taxonomy places the organism in Eukaryota, Metazoa, Chordata, Aves, Anseriformes, Anatidae.